Molecule: ribosomal RNA, 550 nt
Filed under: Bifidobacterium animalis subsp. lactis
Lineage: Bacteria; Bacillati; Actinomycetota; Actinomycetes; Bifidobacteriales; Bifidobacteriaceae
Description: bacterial SSU rRNA
Rfam family: Bacterial small subunit ribosomal RNA
Source: RNAcentral
GUGGUAAUACCGGAUGCUCCGCUCCAUCGCAUGGUGGGGUGGGAAAUGCUUUUGCGGCAUGGGAUGGGGUCGCGUCCUAUCAGCUUGUUGGCGGGGUGAUGGCCCACCAAGGCGUUGACGGGUAGCCGGCCUGAGAGGGUGACCGGCCACAUUGGGACUGAGAUACGGCCCAGACUCCUACGGGAGGCAGCAGUGGGGAAUAUUGCACAAUGGGCGCAAGCCUGAUGCAGCGACGCCGCGUGCGGGAUGGAGGCCUUCGGGUUGUAAACCGCUUUUGUUCAAGGGCAAGGCACGGUUUCGGCCGUGUUGAGUGGAUUGUUCGAAUAAGCACCGGCUAACUACGUGCCAGCAGCCGCGGUAAUACGUAGGGUGCGAGCGUUAUCCGGAUUUAUUGGGCGUAAAGGGCUCGUAGGCGGUUCGUCGCGUCCGGUGUGAAAGUCCAUCGCCUAACGGUGGAUCUGCGCCGGGUACGGGCGGGCUGGAGUGCGGUAGGGGAGACUGGAAUUCCCGGUGUAACGGUGGAAUGUGUAGAUAUCGGAAAAAAACACCA